RNAcentral lists this ribosomal RNA (253 nucleotides) under uncultured bacterium. RNAcentral describes it as "partial 16S ribosomal RNA". It matches the Rfam family "Bacterial small subunit ribosomal RNA", at positions 524 to 776 of the family's 1533-position model. The record is from RNAcentral.
UACGAAGGGGGCUAGCGUUGCUCGGAAUUACUGGGCGUAAAGCGCGCGUAGGCGGCUUUGUAAGUUAGAGGUGAAAGCCCGGGGCUCAACCCCGGAACUGCCUUUAAGACUGCAUCGCUUGAAUCCGGGAGAGGUGAGUGGAAUUCCGAGUGUAGAGGUGAAAUUCGUAGAUAUUCGGAAGAACACCAGUGGCGAAGGCGGCUCACUGGACCGGCAUUGACGCUGAGGCGCGAAAGCGUGGGGAGCGAACCGG